Molecule: ribosomal RNA, 387 nt
Filed under: Chrysolepidomonas dendrolepidota
Lineage: Eukaryota; Chrysophyceae; Chromulinales; Chrysolepidomonadaceae
Description: partial small subunit ribosomal RNA
Rfam family: Eukaryotic small subunit ribosomal RNA
Source: RNAcentral
GCUUGUCUCAAAGAUUAAGCCAUGCAUGUCUUAGUGUAAAUAACUCUUAUGAAACUGCGAAUGGCUCAUUAAAUCAGUUAUCGUUUAUUUGAUGGUCCUUGCUACUUGGAUAACCGUAGUAAUUCUAGAGCUAAUACAUGCAUCAAACCCCAACUUCUGGAAGGGGUGUAUUUAUUAGAUGGAAACCAAUCGAGGGCAACCUCGGGAUAUGGUGAUUCAUAAUAACUUUCGGAUCGAUUUAUCGAUGCAUCAUUCAAGUUUCUGCCCUAUCAGCUUUGGAUGGUAGGGUAUUGGCCUACCAUGGCUUUAACGGGUAACGGAGAAUUAGGGUUCGAUUCCGGAGAGGGAGCCUGAGAAAUGGCUACCACAUCCAAGGAAGGCAGCAGG